AUGAUAAUAACAACAAAACUAAACACCAGUCUUAACAUGCACUCUCCGCUUUCAUGCUUCAGCAGUACUCAGAUCAUUUCCACAAACAGACCAAAGAGCACAGCUUGAUUUCUAUGAAAUAAAGAAGAUAAAGCAAUGAGAGCUUUUAUUUCGUCUACUGUGGCCGUCGGGUCUGUUAGAGGUGGAACGAGCAGCCGUGAGCUGGAACUGUACAAACAAUCCACUCUGAUCAAUAUCAGUCCGGCACUUUAUGACUUCUUUGAAGCCGAAACAACUGUUUACACGCUUCACUCUUUGCUGUGGGUCAUUACAGAUAUCGCUAGUCUUACAGAUGAUCAAGUGAGAAUAUACACAUGAAUCAGUUGUGAUGUUUAAAUGGUAUUUUAUUACUGUGGCAUUUUAUUUAAUGAAAUAUUUCUCUGUUCCCUUUUAAACACCCCAGUGUUGCUCACUAUCAGCAUUAUCUGAGAAUGCUGGUGAACUUUAAUUGGUUAACCAGCAUUAACAGCCACGUUCAGCAUGGCUUUCCUGGUCUAAGAACAAAUCAACAUGCAUGAAACUUUUGGCUUUUGAAGGUUGACUUCUGAACUGCUUUUGCAUUUGUAAUGAAUCUGAAGGCAGAAUCGAGUCUUAUACAUUGUGAGUUUGAGAUUGACUUUCUCUGUGUUUUGUCAACUGUUUGCUGUCUGUUGUCAGUCAACAGAGCUCCUGUCCUUCACAAUGCCUGAGAGGUUCAGCCCACACUCAGCUCUACAGAUGCACGGAUAUAGGUUGAGGGUGACCCAUGUGGAGGUGAAAGCAGAUUAAGAGAGCAAAGACAAAACAAGCAGAUUAGCCAAAUGUCUGACCGGUUUCUCUUCAGGAUACAGAGCAUCAUCAGAGGAAAACCAACUGGAAAAUGAUGAUGUUGUCCAUUUGGAAACCUGACAGAGAGUUGCUGAUGGAAAACGCAGAGUUUUUCAAAACAUCUCAGGAUGAAAAUCAGCAUGAGGAUAAAUGCAGCUCACGUGUGAAGCCGGAUCAGAGCUGCUGGAUUGUGUAACAAGAGGAAUGUUUGGGAAUCUCAGAGAGCUAUUGCAUUGUUCACAGCCAUGUGAGAAGGAGUCAGAGGUCAAACACAGUGGCACGCAAAACAAAGAGGCGAGUGAAGCAACAAGGACAUAUCUGAAGCCCUUUCACAAGGUCAUUGAAGAUCACAGAAGCCAAUAUACUGUAUAGUGCAUUUAAACCUAAUAUUGGAUUGAAAAUAUUUUAGAAAAAAAUACGAUGAAUUGGGAAUUUUGGAUAUAUUAGCAUUUUAGUUAGCGCCUAUUAGGGUUGCAUUGCCAGAAACUAAAAGUUAGCUACGUUAUUUGGGCUUUAUUUAUUCCUGCAUAAUAUUUAUAGACAUGUAGUUGGAUUCAAUUUCAGAUUAAAGAUAAAAGUAUACAUUAAUCAUUAUAAUGCAUUUGAAAAUCUGUACUAUUUUGCGCUUCAUUAUUUGACAAAGCAUUAAAAAACUUAUUAUUUUUGUUUAAACCCAUAUUGUAUUUGUUUUAA
This is a non-coding RNA of Danio rerio (zebrafish), 1539 nucleotides long. The record is from RefSeq and is a predicted model, not a curated record. Lineage: Eukaryota; Metazoa; Chordata; Actinopteri; Cypriniformes; Danionidae.